RNAcentral lists this ribosomal RNA (253 nucleotides) under uncultured bacterium. RNAcentral's name for it is "partial 16S ribosomal RNA". It matches the Rfam family "Bacterial small subunit ribosomal RNA", at positions 524 to 776 of the family's 1533-position model. The record is from RNAcentral.
UACGAAGGGGGCUAGCGUUGCUCGGAAUUACUGGGCGUAAAGGGCGCGUAGGCGGAUAUUUAAGUUGGGGGUGAAAUCCCGGGGCUCAACCUCGGAAUUGCCUUCAAAACUGGAUAUCUUGAGUGCGGAAGAGGGUCGUGGAAUUCCCAGUGUAGAGGUGAAAUUCGUAGAUAUUGGGAAGAACACCGGUGGCGAAGGCGGCGACCUGGUCCGUGACUGACGCUGAGGCGCGAAAGCGUGGGGAGCAAACAGG